UGAUCCUGGCUCAGAUUGAACGCUGGCGGCAGGCCUAACACAUGCAAGUCGAACGGUAGCAUAUCUUGCUUGCAAGAUGAUGACGAGUGGCGGAUGGGUGAGUAAUACUUAGGAACAUGCCUUUGAGUGGGGGAUAACUAUUGGAAACGAUAGCUAAUACCGCAUAACGUCUACGGACCAAAGGGGGCUUCGGCUCUCGCUCAGAGAGUGGCCUAAGCGAGAUUAGCUAGUUGGUGAGGUAAAGGCUCACCAAGGCGACGAUCUCUAGCUGUUCUGAGAGGAAGAUCAGCCACACUGGGACUGAGACACGGCCCAGACUCCUACGGGAGGCAGCAGUGGGGAAUAUUGCACAAUGGGGGGAACCCUGAUGCAGCCAUGCCGCGUGUGUGAAGAAGGCCUUCGGGUUGUAAAGCACUUUCAGUUGUGAGGAAAGGUUAGUAGUUAAUACCUGCUAGCUGUGACGUUAGCAACAGAAGAAGCACCGGCUAACUCCGUGCCAGCAGCCGCGGUAAUACGGAGGGUGCGAGCGUUAAUCGGAAUUACUGGGCGUAAAGCGCACGCAGGUGGUUUGUUAAGCUAGAUGUGAAAGCCCAGGGCUCAACCUUGGAAUAGCAUUUAGAACUGGCAGGCUAGAGUCUUGGAGAGGGGAGUGGAAUUCCAGGUGUAGCGGUGAAAUGCGUAGAGAUCUGGAGGAACAUCAGUGGCGAAGGCGACUCCCUGGCCAAAGACUGACACUCAUGUGCGAAAGUGUGGGUAGCGAACAGGAUUAGAUACCCUGGUAGU
Molecule: ribosomal RNA, 783 nt
Filed under: uncultured marine bacterium
Lineage: Bacteria
Description: bacterial SSU rRNA
Rfam family: Bacterial small subunit ribosomal RNA
Source: RNAcentral